This is a non-coding RNA of Arachis ipaensis, 842 nucleotides long. The record is from RefSeq and is a predicted model, not a curated record. Lineage: Eukaryota; Viridiplantae; Streptophyta; Magnoliopsida; Fabales; Fabaceae.
CUUGUAUUUUAGAUGACAUUGCUUCAUUUGAAUGCCUAGAUUCCUCCUUCGUUUGGAUUAAAUUGCCUCUAUCUUGUAAGGAAGAGAAAGAUCUUUCAAAUUGCUCCUUGUUCUUCUCUGUUUAGUGUAUAAUAUAGUGGGCAACUGGGCAUGCACAUUUACAAAAUUUAUUUUAGAUUGCAGGUGAUUCUGAGAAGUUGAUAAAUGUGUUAUUUGAGCUUGCCAGAUGCCAUGCCCCCUCAACCAUAUUUCUUGAUGAAAUUGAUGCAAUCAUUAGCCAACGCGGUGAAGCACGCAGUGAACAUGAAGCAAGUAGACGACUAAGAACUGAACUACUCAUACAGUUAUUAUGCUAUUCAUGCUGCUGAACUCUCCUCAGAUGACACAUUAUUUUAUUGUAAGUAAGAAUUUAGCUAUUGUGGGUAAUCAAAAGGUUUCUGUAGCAUUUUGAUUUGGUAUCGAUUAGUAUCAUAACUAUGUGUAAGUAUGCUUGAAGUUACGGCUUGCAUUGUGCUUGCUGUUUUUGCAAUGGCUACAAGCCUCAGGAUGUACACAGCUUGUCAGCAUCUUCAAGCUCAGGCCAGGGCUCAUGCAGCAGCAACAACUGGAUUGCGUAGCCAUACCGAAUUAUGGCUUCAUGUGCCACCAUCCAUAGAGUUUGUUCUAUAUGAAUUUUCCAAAUAUAUGAAGAGAUUACAAGCAUAAAGGAUUUUUCUAUACACACUAAGUUUAAUGGUAAUAAUUAUACUUGAUUCUUAAAGUUGAACUAUACGCUAUGAGUUCUUAUUUUUUUAUGUAGAUUUCUUAUGAAGAGAGAAGAAUAGUAGUUGAUUUUGAUUUUA